This 253-nucleotide ribosomal RNA is filed under the name uncultured bacterium. RNAcentral describes it as "partial 16S ribosomal RNA". It matches the Rfam family "Bacterial small subunit ribosomal RNA", at positions 524 to 776 of the family's 1533-position model. The record is from RNAcentral.
UACGGAGGGAGCUAGCGUUGUUCGGAAUUACUGGGCGUAAAGCGCACGUAGGCGGCUUUGUAAGUUAGAGGUGAAAGCCCGGGGCUCAACCCCGGAAUUGCCUUUAAGACUGCAUCGCUUGAAUCCGGGAGAGGUGAGUGGAAUUCCGAGUGUAGAGGUGAAAUUCGUAGAUAUUCGGAAGAACACCAGUGGCGAAGGCGGCUCACUGGACGACUGUUGACGCUGAGGUGCGAAAGCGUGGGGAGCAAACAGG